Non-coding RNA from Tetranychus urticae (two-spotted spider mite), 1529 nucleotides. The record is from RefSeq and is a predicted model, not a curated record. NCBI's taxonomy places the organism in Eukaryota, Metazoa, Arthropoda, Arachnida, Trombidiformes, Tetranychidae.
CGAUGAUGUUGGUUUGCUAGUUGUUGACCUUUUUUUGUCUGUGAACAAUAAUAAUCCAAGUAAAGUUGUACCGAUAAAAUUGGACAAUAAUCCAAUCUCUUUGUUGGUAUAAUUAACUUUAUCGAAUGAAAUUUUGGGAGAGGCUUUGGUGAGUGAAGAGAGGCACAGACACAGCACUGGCCACAUUUGAUUUUUAUUCCGCAAUUGAUUUUGAUUUUUGAUCACAAUUUGAAAUCACAAAAAUUCCAACAAUUGAAAGGAGAGAAGAAGAAAACAAAAAGAGAGAAUUAAAGAUGGCGGAGAUCUUUUUUUUCCCUUGGAUUUCACGUUUGGAUUAAGCAAAAAGUAGCAGAAGUUAACCAGAAGAAACAAGAUGGAAAGUAAAAAUCACGGUUUUGAUGGUAAAUCAACAAUGGCAAGGAAAGCUAAGAGUUGAAACAAUUUUCUAAAUUUCAAAUAUUAAUUCUUUAUAUUAAUAUUAAGUAGAUUUAAUAAUAAUUACUUAAUAAUAUUAAAACAAUUGAAAAAUUGUAAUUAUUAACGGACGAGGUAGAAAUAUCUUUUGGCUUUCUUUUGUUUAUUUGGUUGGUUGUCGCUGAUUGGUUAAUAGAAUUUUCUUGUUGAUUUCUUAGCUCUCUUUUUUAACGGUUAACAAUGAUGAUACAAUAACAAGAGUGGAUUGAAGCAAAAUUGGUUUCCAAUUGAUAUGAGCUGUGAGGUUGAUUGUUGAUAUAGCUGAUUGCUGAUUAAAUUGGGACAUUUGUUGCUUUAAACAAUUAACUGUGUAGCACGAUUAACCAGUUUACCAAUUGGCUGACAAAAUUCAGUCUUUCUUUGUUCAGGCUUACCCGGCUGAAGAUGGUGUUUAGCCUUAUAUAUUAUGUACAAUCACAAUUCCCUCAGCUGACAAUUGGGAACCGAGUUUUAUCACUGCAAUUGGUGUCACUGGUCUUUUAGGAAACCAUGUUAAUGUUGAAUACGUUUUCUCCGGUAGAACCAAAAAUUAUCACUCAAUGGGAACAAGGGAAAGUGUAAACAAGUGUUCAACAACAGAAGAAAUAUAAAGUGAAAAUUGAAGAGUUCAACAAACGAUGAUCAACAGUAAAUAUAAAUUUGUAAUUAUGUAUUUAAUUUGUGUUUAUCAGAAAUUAUUGUUACUUAUGUUGUUUUUUUUCUUCCUCUCUUAAGUCUAUGUAUUGGUGUUUGUAUAUUUUUCAAAGUUGACGUUCGAUUGGCAACAUUUUUCAUCGAAACGUUAAUGAGACUGUUCAAUGUUCAGAUGCUUUGACUUGAUUUUUUUUCAUCAGUUCAACAUUCUGCUCAGUCUCGACUAAAUUGUCAAUCUCAAUUGGUAUUCCUUCCAUUUUUUACAAUUCUGGUUUACUGAUUCAAUUGCACUAGAGGCAUCUAGAGUCUAUCUUUUGCAUUACAAUUUACUUCAAUCAAUCUUAAACAUUUACCUAACAAAUCGGUUGAUAUGGGUUUAAAUGAAUUUUAGGUAAAUAAAUUUAUUUAUUUUACUAAUUUAA